UAGUUACUAUAGCAAAGAGGAUACACCUGUUCCCAUUCCGAACACAGAAGUUAAGCUCUUUAGCGCCGAUGGUACUUGGUGGGAAGCUGCCUGGGAGAGUA
This 101-nucleotide ribosomal RNA is filed under the name Paraclostridium sordellii. Lineage: Bacteria; Bacillati; Bacillota; Clostridia; Peptostreptococcales; Peptostreptococcaceae. The record is from RNAcentral.